Molecule: long non-coding RNA, 1891 nt
Organism: Rattus norvegicus (Norway rat)
Lineage: Eukaryota; Metazoa; Chordata; Mammalia; Rodentia; Muridae
Gene: Serpinb8l1
Product: serpin family B member 8 like 1
Source: RefSeq, a predicted model, not a curated record
AUCUGUAUAGGAGUCGGGAGGGGAGGGCAGAGGGGAUGCUCCACAGCUCCUGGUCCUUAGGCACCUCAGUGCUGUAACGAGAGGGUCCAGAGCAGGAACUCUGCUCCCUCCAACUUCUCCAGGGGUAAGCUACCUUGUUCUCCAUGUUCCCUAACUCAAGCGGAACCUUCACAGCCUCCGCCUGCCUCCAUUGUCUCCUCACACAGGAACAGCAUUCUGAGUGCCUCUGGGUUUUAAAACAGGCUCUUGCUAGGUAGCAAAGCUGACCUAGACUCACAAUCACCGUGACUGCUACACUGGAAACGCAGACACAUUUGUGUCUCCCACACCAUCAGGUUUUAUCGCAGCAUUUGUCACAAUUUACCAAGUAAUCCCAAUCUUCAAUAGUUGGCCAUUGUCAACCACAUGUUCUCAUAGCCUAAUCUUAAUUGCAGAUAUUAACUCUCAGGUCAUACUUUGCAAAAUGGCUACAGAAGCGUUACUGAGAUGGUGGAGUUCAAAGAGGUCUUAGUGGGGCCAGGGUCAAGACUGCUGCAGACACCAAGCACAAAAGGGUCAUUGCGGGUGUGAAGACCGCCUGGAGAGCUGCUGGAGGCAAGCAGUCCUGCAACAGGAAGCCCAAGACCAGGUCUGGAUAUGUGAAGAGUAAUUCAGUAACUAAGCAGGUUCUGUCAGACAGCCAGGACCACGAUGCGCUGAAGCUCUGAGGAUCUUCUGGAACUCUCUCCUAUUGAUUCUUUCUGCACUGGGUGAUUGGAUAACAGGUCAGCAAGACCAUCACAGAUCACAAUGGAUGUUUAUGAACGAUGGAUGCUAACACCAUGAACAAGGAUCUGUUUAAGGCUACUCUAUUUCUUGGAUCUACACUCAGAAGUAGAAUUGCUGGAUCAUGUGCUAGCUGGGUCUAUGUUUAACUUUUUCAGGAGUUGCCAAACGAUUCCCUCAGCAACCCCCCGUGGAAGUUUGAUGAAGAUGGUUUUAUAAUGGGAUUUGGCAGUGAGCGUUACUGUAUCUAUUUUUUUUUAUUCUCUCAUAUUUACCUAUUUUUCUCUGAGGGUUUCUAAAAGUCCUUUUAGUUCUUUUUUUUUUUUCUUUUAUCUGUUUAACUAUGCUGUGCCCGAGGGCGGUUCUGAAUUGAGACUCUAUUAAUUGCCUAGCUUGGGCUAACAAAAAGGUUGGGGGAGUGCCAAUUCAUCCUCCCAUUUUCCAACCUUCUUGAGCUGUACUGUGGGUCCAGCAAAAAUGAUGUCAGCUACUCAUUUGUGGAAACCUUUGUCACCUUCUUCAGCGUGAACCCAUCCCCACCCCACCCCACCACUGGUAGGAGCUAAUCAGAGCCUACCUACUGGACACCACUAGCUCCUGGGGGUAGCACAGGAAGGGCCUCUGUUGCUUGUGUUGAUUUUCAUGUUCAUUCCUAACAAUGUCACCUUGCAGUGCACACACACGUGCACACAUCUCAGAAUCUGGUACAUUCGGACAUGAAGCCUUCAGGACACUCACCUAAUAGUUUCAUCAUGAGGAUACAAUAUAUUCAGUGAAACACAUUGGGACUAGGGAUGUGGCCCUCACUGGUCUCCAGGUGACAGUACUUGCCUAACAAGGGCUCUGUCUUUAACACAACAAAUGCACACCACAUGAACUGAUCCGUUUAAUGAAUAAUUAUAAACAUCCUUGCCCUACCACCAGCUUAAAGAGAACACUCUCCAGUUUUAUCCCCCCCUGAGAGACUGGGACCAGUGCCGAGCCAUCCCUCCCCUUCCCAAUGGUGCAGCCUUACUCUGAGCUUUAUCAUCUCCCUCUCUGUUCUCCCUCUGAAGCUUCGCGCAUCUCUGAAGACACGGUUUCUGUUUUGCUUGGUUUGAACUUCACAUCAAGGAAAUAAUGCUAA